RNAcentral lists this ribosomal RNA (601 nucleotides) under uncultured Methylotenera sp. RNAcentral's name for it is "bacterial SSU rRNA". It matches the Rfam family "Bacterial small subunit ribosomal RNA", at positions 38 to 634 of the family's 1533-position model. Lineage: Bacteria; Pseudomonadati; Pseudomonadota; Betaproteobacteria; Nitrosomonadales; Methylophilaceae. The record is from RNAcentral.
GGCGGAAUGCUUUACACAUGCAAGUCGAACGGCAGCACGGACUUCGGUCUGGUGGCGAGUGGCGAACGGGUGAGUAAUGUAUCGGAACGUAUCCAGUAAUGGGGGAUAACUAAUCGAAAGGUUGGCUAAUACCGCAUACGCCCUACGGGGGAAAGCAGGGGAUCUUCGGACCUUGCGUUAAUGGAGCGGCCGAUAUCUGAUUAGCUAGUUGGUGAGGUAAGAGCUCACCAAGGCGACGAUCAGUAGCUGGUCUGAGAGGACGACCAGCCACACUGGAACUGAGACACGGUCCAGACUCCUACGGGAGGCAGCAGUGGGGAAUUUUGGACAAUGGGCGCAAGCCUGAUCCAGCCAUUCCGCGUGAGUGAAGAAGGCCUUCGGGUUGUAAAGCUCUUUCGCAAGGGAAGAAACGAUGCAGACGAAUAAUCUGUGUUAAUGACGGUACCUUGAUAAGAAGCACCGGCUAACUACGUGCCAGCAGCCGCGGUAAUACGUAGGGUGCAAGCGUUAAUCGGAAUUACUGGGCGUAAAGCGUGCGCAGGCGGUUUUGUAAGUCAGAUGUGAAAUCCCCGAGCUCAACUUGGGAACUGCGUUUGAAACU